Molecule: ribosomal RNA, 984 nt
Filed under: Triticum aestivum (bread wheat)
Lineage: Eukaryota; Viridiplantae; Streptophyta; Magnoliopsida; Poales; Poaceae
Description: partial small subunit ribosomal RNA
Source: RNAcentral
AUGAGGGCGGUGGCGAUCGCGAGCCCCGGCGGGCCGGAGGUGCUGGAGGAGCGCGAGGUGGAGGACCUCGCGGCGCCGGGGGACGGCGAGGUGCUCCUCGGGGUGGCCGCCGCCGGCGUCAACCGCACCGACACGGUCCAGCGGCAGGGCGGGUACCCGGCGCCGUCCGGCGCCUCGCCCUACCCGGGGGUCGAGUGCUCCGGCUCCAUCCUCGCCCUCGGGGCCAACGUCCACCCGCGCUGGGCCGUCGGCGACCAGGUGUGCGCGCUGCUUAACGGCGGCGGGUACGCGGAGAAGGUGGUGGUGCCGGCGGCGCUGCUGCUCCCGGUGCCGGAGGGGGUGUCGCUGACGGACGCCGCCGGCUUGCCCGAGGUGGCCUGCACCGUCUGGUCCACCGUCUUCAUGACCAGCCAUCUCUCCCCCGGCGAAUCCUUCCUUAUCCAUGGCGGAUCAAGCGGAAUCGGCACAUUUGCCAUACAGAUCGCAAAGCACCUCGGAAUUAAGGUUUUUGUUACUGCAGGAAGCGAAGAAAAAUUAGCUGCUUGCGCAGGUUUGGGUGCGGAUGUAUGCAUAAACUACAAAACUGAAGAGUUUGUAGCACGUAUCAAAGAAGAAACUAAUGGAAAGGGUGUCGAUGUCAUUUUGGACAACGUCGGCGGACCUUAUCUCCAGCGCAAUCUGGACAGCUUAGCAGUUGAUGGUAGGCUUUUCAUCAUUGGUUUCAUGGGAGGCACCGUGACCGAAGUGAACCUGCAGGCGAUGCUUGCCCGAAGAUUGACCAUACAAGUUGCUGGGCUGCGCAGCAGAAGCCUGGCCAAUAAAGCUCAGAUCGUCAGCGAGGUGGAGAAAAAUGUAUGGCCAGCCGUUGCAUCGGGCAAGGUGAAGCCGGUGAUUUACAAGACGCUCCCUCUUUCUGAGGCAGCAGAAGCUCACAAGCUGAUGGAGUCAAGCUCCCACAUUGGCAAGAUACUACUGAUUCCAUGA